Molecule: ribosomal RNA, 253 nt
Filed under: uncultured bacterium
Lineage: Bacteria
Description: partial 16S ribosomal RNA
Rfam family: Bacterial small subunit ribosomal RNA
Source: RNAcentral
UACGAACUGUGCAAACGUUAUUCGGAUUCACUGGGCUUAAAGGGUGCGUAGGCGGCCAUGUAAGUAGGGUGUGAAAUCCCCCGGCUUAACCGGGGAACUGCGCCCUAAACUGUAUGGCUGGAGUGAGAUAGGGGUGUGUGGAACUUCCGGUGGAGCGGUGAAAUGUGUUGAUAUUGGGAGGAACGCCAGUGGCGAAGGCGGCUCACUGGACCGGUUCUGACGCUGAUGCGCGAAAGCGUGGGGAGCAAACGGG